RNAcentral lists this unclassified non-coding RNA (334 nucleotides) under soil metagenome. Its description in RNAcentral is "partial contains 5.8S ribosomal RNA, internal transcribed spacer 2, and large subunit ribosomal RNA". The stretch from base 1 to 121 matches the Rfam family "5.8S ribosomal RNA", at positions 35 to 154 of the family's 154-position model. The record is from RNAcentral.
GAUGAAGAACGCAGUGAAAUGCGAUAAGUAAUGCGAAUUGCAGAAUUUCCGUGAGUCAUCGAAUCUUUGAACGCACAUUGCGCCCGCCAGUAUUCUGGCGGGCAUGCCUGUUCGAGCGUCAUUUCAACCCUCAAGCUCAGCUUGGUGUUGGGACUCGCGGUAACCCGCGUUCCCCAAAUCGAUUGGCGGUCACGUCGAGCUUCCAUAGCGUAGUAAUCAUACACCUCGUUACUGGUAAUCGUCGCGGCCACGCCGUAAAACCCCAACUUCUGAAUGUUGACCUCGGAUCAGGUAGGAAUACCCGCUGAACUUAAGCAUAUCAAUAAGCGGAGGA